Molecule: long non-coding RNA, 1190 nt
Filed under: Homo sapiens (human)
Lineage: Eukaryota; Metazoa; Chordata; Mammalia; Primates; Hominidae
Description: long intergenic non-protein coding RNA 343
Source: RNAcentral
GGCAGUUAGGCUGCAGUGAAUUCUACAAAGAGGCUAUGGGAAAGAAACCUGGAAAGUACCCUUGGCUGUGUACAUUUGAGUAAAGAGAGCACUAUAAAAUCAAAAACCAAUGAAAUGGUUUCCAGAACACAGAACUAUUAAGCUUAAGAAAAGGACAGAAGGAACUGAAGAGAGAGGAACUGUUUUGGAGCAUCACACUUCCACCUCAGAAGAAAUAAGGAAGGAAGGAGGAGGGUGUUCCCACGGCUCUUCAACCAGGCCGGCUCUUCAGCCUACAUCCCCAUCUCAUCAAGUAAAAGGGAUUUUUCAACUGGACCAACCAGAUGGUUUAACAGUGCACUCCCACACCAUUCAACUACGCAAGGGAGAUACACUUAACAUAUGCAGUCGUAUAACACCUACUAACAUUUUCAAACAUUAAACCUUUAAAAAAGAGUUCUAAAGAAAUAGAAGCUUGAAGUAUCAUCUCUCAAGUAUAUAGACACUACUUCAUGGUGUGGUAAUAUAUGCAUAUAGAAGCUAGUAAACACCUCCAGGAGAUGCAAAAGGAAUUAGAACUGCCACAAGGUGCAAGCAAAACCUUGAGAGUGAAUAUACCUUGGAAGACGUGUCCUGCCUUUAGUAGCGUCACAAUGGAUUACAUCCUCUAUAAAGCAGUCUGGGAGGCUAACAUCUGCCACAAGACAAAUAUGGUGCCUGCCCCCAUGGAGCUCAUAUUCGAAUGGAGAAAAUGUCAACAAGUAUCCCACGGAGUGAACACUUCAAAAGGAGAAGCACAGGUGAGAAAAUCGAAUUUGGACACCGUUGAGGAGACUAUUGCAGUCAUCCAAGCUCAAGAUGGUGGAGCUUCAUCCUUGAGAAUAACCAAUGGGGAUAGAUUUAAGAGACACUUAGAGUCUGCAGCCAACAGGGCUGAAUGAGCAGAGAGUUAUGAUUCAGAAGAUCAUCUAAAAUUGAACAGCUGCCACUACUGGCAAUAAGUCUACUGCCAUUUGGUAGAUAACCUUCUUAUCACACAGAAAAAUAUCAGUACAGACAAAUAGACCGCAAAGAAAAUGAGACCAUCAGCAAAGAAGAUAAAGAAGUUUGUACAAAGCAACUUUUUAUAAAUGGAUGGCUGUCAGGCAAAAAUAAAUUUCCUGUGGACAAGACCAAGAGCAAGGCAAGAGGAAAAUAAACAUGUUUAAACU